Long non-coding RNA from Centruroides sculpturatus (bark scorpion), 1126 nucleotides. RefSeq lists it as uncharacterized. The record is from RefSeq and is a predicted model, not a curated record. NCBI's taxonomy places the organism in Eukaryota, Metazoa, Arthropoda, Arachnida, Scorpiones, Buthidae. The transcript has 3 exons.
GCUUUAUGGAAAAUUCAUCGAAAUCAAUAAAUUGUGUUCUGCUGAUUUACCGUUAGAAACUAAAAUGAAGAUGCUGAAUUUCAUGAAAAGGUAUGGUAAAACUCCAUUUGGAGUAAGCAUCGGCGGAUUCUUUUACGUUAAGAAGAACUUCUUUAUUCGAUGUUUGAGUGCCAUAUAUUCAGCGCUGUCCGUCUUGACUGAACUUCUAAUUGCAAAGAAGCCGUCUUCUUGUAAAAUUAAGAUUGGAGACUUAAUACAAUAACGGUAUUUUGCCUCACAGGCUGACUGAAUGACUGAAGUCAAAGCUUGAAUGUGAGUAGACUUAAUACAGAAAAAUGAAAUAUUGCAUUCGAAAAAGGACGUCCAAAGUAGAUAUAUAAAAACAUCUGAAAUCUCAAAAAGUCAACGUCUAACGAAACGUCAAAAUUUGAAUCUCGACUCUCUUGAAGAAUAUACAUUCUGUUGACAUUUCAUUUAAGCGUUACCUGCCUAAUUUUCUUAAUUUUAUGAUAUUAGUUAUUUAUUACUUUGUUCAGCUUAAAUGUAGAUUCGUCUGACAGAAAUGUAAAACGCUGUCUAAGAAUGAGGACGAAAGAAUUUCGACUGACUCGACAGAACAAUUGAUUCUGUCAUAUAUUAAACCUGAUAAAAAAAAAAUUGAUGUCUAGAAAAGUAUUUCAUUUUUCGCCUUAACUACAAUUUUUUCUGAUCAUAAAUUUUAGAAGAACGACUGGUGAAUAUCCAGUUCUGAAUGGAAAAGACUGAUACUUCACUUUCAGAGUUUGAUUCCUGGAUGUCUGUACUUAAAGAUGAAGAAAAUAGACGGUUACACUAGUUUAUAAAAUAGUAAUGCAUUUGAAUGCAUGAAGAAGUGUUGCUUAGAUUUAUUAAAAGUGUGUUAAAGUUGGAAGAUAAAGAAAGAAAAUACAGUGAUUACUGGUCUUACAUGUAAUAAAAGUGAUGAAGAGAACCUAAUUUUAGUGCAAAAUUUAAUUUAAAAUACAGUCGAACCUCGGCUUUCGAACAGAAUUCGUUUGUAAAAGUUGUUCUAAAACUCAAACAAAUAAGAAACAGCAUAAAAUGGAUUUAUUCGGUUUUGAUUUCCAAAGUGAAAUUUUUUAAAACU